This is a non-coding RNA of Poecilia reticulata (guppy), 1541 nucleotides long. The record is from the annotation of a RefSeq genome assembly. NCBI's taxonomy places the organism in Eukaryota, Metazoa, Chordata, Actinopteri, Cyprinodontiformes, Poeciliidae.
GACCAAACUGUAUUACUGUGACAACUGGGCUUUUGACUACUGGGGAGCAGGAACCAUGGUAACAGUAACAUCAGCCGCUCAGAUUGCUCCCACUGUGUUUCCUCUGACUCCAUGUGGUUCUGGUGGUAGUGACAUGGUCACCCUCGGCUGUCUUGCCACCGGUUUCAACCCUUCUUCCAUCACCUUCUCGUGGCAACAAGGCAGUACUUCUUUGAACAACGUCAUCCAGUACCCUUCAAUCCAGAAAGGCAAUGAAUACAUGGGAAUCAGUCAGGUUCAAGUCAGCAGACAGGACUGGGACGCAAGAAAAUCCUUCAAAUGCAUUGCAACUCACGCUGCAGGAGAACGACAUACUAUAGUCACGCCACCACUGCCACUACCCAAGGUUUAUGAGCUUCCGACUCUUAAAGUGUGUUCCUCCGUUGAUGAGGGGAAAGAGGAGGCUUACUUCUCCUGCUUUGCCAAAGAUUUUUCUCCAAAUGAAUAUGAGAUCACAUGGCUGAAAGAUGAUCAAGUAAUCACCGGGACGGUAGAUGAGGUCGUCACAUCCUCUCAGGGAAGAAAUGACACGAAUGGAACUAUCCUGUACAGUGUUGCAAGUCUCCUCACAUUGCCGUCCAGGGAAGUGCCUGAAGGCGCAAAAUUAACAUGUUUAUUUAAGGGAAAAGGAAAAGACGACAAAACUCCAGUCUAUACCAAUUCUACUGUGUCCCACAAGCGGUGUUCAGCUGUUACUGAAGGGUGUAGCGAAGAUAUGGAUAUAAGGAUCAUACCCCCCACAAACAAGGACAUCUUUUUGGAUGGAAAAGGAACCCUGAUUUGUGAAGUCACCGAAAAAAAAGCGGGAUUUGAGAAGGUCGUCUGGUUGGACGAGGACGACACGGAAGUGGUAUCCACACAGGAGAAUAAAGGAUCCAAUGUACAUCUAGCUAAAAUUGAGAUCACCUUUGAUGAAUGGAGCAAGGGGCUCACGCGAGUCUGUGAAGUUCACAGCACUGAGUGGAUUGAUCCAGUGAAGAAAGAGUACAGAAGAAACAACGGAAGAGCUUCUAAGCGUCCAUCAGUGUUUAUGUUGCCUCCCUUAGAGCAAACUAGAGAAAAUACAGUGGUUCUGACUUGCUAUGUGAAAGACUUCUCUCCUCGGGAGAUUUAUGUGGACUGGCUUGUCGAUGAUGAAAAGGCAGGCACAAAAUAUCAGUUCAGUACCACAGAACCCGUGGAAAACAAUGGACUCUUCUCCGUUUACAGCCAGUUGAUCCUCACACAAGAACAAUGGAAUGAGAAAGACGUGGUGUAUAGCUGUGCUGUUCAUCAUGAGUCAGUGGCAAAGUCAAGCAAAUCAAUUGUCAGAUCCAUUGGAUCCAGAACCUUUGAAAAAACCAAUGUGGUCAACCUUAACAUGAACGUCCCUGAAACGUGCAAGGCCCAGUAGAUGUGUCUAUGCGUCUUGUUUUUUAUUUUUCCUUCUCGUUUGAUGUCUGUUGCUUGUGAUUUUUAAAUUUUUUGUGUGUUUUUAGUGCAAAUUUAAAAUGAAAAUAAAA